This 267-nucleotide ribosomal RNA is filed under the name uncultured bacterium. RNAcentral describes it as "partial 16S ribosomal RNA". It matches the Rfam family "Bacterial small subunit ribosomal RNA", at positions 793 to 1055 of the family's 1533-position model. The record is from RNAcentral.
GUCCACGCCGUAAACGAUGAAGACUAGCUGUCCGGGCACUUGGUGCUUGGGUGGCGCAGCUAACGCAUUAAGUCUUCCGCCUGGGGAGUACGGCCGCAAGGUUAAAACUCAAAGAAAUUGACGGGGGCCUGCACAAGCGGUGGAGCAUGUGGUUUAAUUCGAAGCAACGCGCAGAACCUUACCAGCGUUUGACAUGUCUAGUAUGGUUACCAGAGAUGGUUUCCUUCAGUUCGGCUGGCUAGAACACAGGUGCUGCAUGGCUGUCGU